Molecule: small nucleolar RNA, 93 nt
Organism: Anabas testudineus (climbing perch)
Lineage: Eukaryota; Metazoa; Chordata; Actinopteri; Anabantiformes; Anabantidae
Product: small nucleolar RNA SNORD70
Source: Ensembl
AGAUCUGUGGUCUGUGAUGUAUUUCUCUUCUGUGUGUGAUUAAACCAUGAGCUAUUUCACAGUAUUCGUCACUACCACUGAGACCACAUGGUU